AAUCAUAAUAACAAGAAACUCAAGGGAACGACAUGGUCAGGGCUCAGGUUGUGAGUGGCAGAUGUGGAUGAAGGGGGAGCAGUCAAAGAGCCUGCAGUCAUGUCUGCAUUCUAACGCAUUCUAACAGUGGGACAGCUAUGAGAAAGUGUAUUGUAAAAUCUUAAAGACAGAGUCAUCAUGUAUGGCGCAGUCCCUGACACAUGAAGCUGACUCUGAGAUGAAGCUUCAAGUAUAGAUAGUUUAUCUGCACAAUACAGGGAACCAUGGCAAAGGACUGGGGAAUAGAAACAAGGAACAGAAAACAGCCAAUCAAGAGUGCAUUAUGAAACCAGCUACCACUAGAGGAGAUGGAAUUCUAGGAUCAUCAUGACAGAUGGGAGGCAGGACUAGAGUGCAGCUCCGGACAGAACAGCUUGCAGAAGCUUGCAUUGUGAAUUUUAGCUCCAGAUCAAGUGCAAGAACAAACCAGCAAUCCCGAGAGGACCCACAGAUCCUCUAAAGGAAGUGGACUGCUCCUGCAGGACCCUGGAGAUACCCCAAAAACUGUGAGUGCCCCAACUGCAGAAGUGGGAAAGGGAAACCUUCCUCUCCCGAACACACAUAUCCACUGGAAAAGUUGAAGGUCUGUUUGCGGGAGAAGUUUCCGACCUUACCUGGAGCUGAGCCAAUUUAGAGAGCCAAGUGAGGGUAAAACUACAUAGGGAGAAAGAAAUCCCUAGCAGAACUUUGUAAUAAUAUGAACCCGAUGAGAAGCCUCCUUGCCAGAACUUGGGGGAAGGUGUGCAAAUCUGGUGUGCAGACUCCACCAGCAGGGGAAGAACCAAGCCUUCUUCUCUCACAGCUGGGAGGCGGGAGAUUUCAAGCCUGUCUUCCCCUCUGCCUGGAAACAGACUUGGGGCUGUUGUCGCGGGGAACAGUGGGAGUGAGACUGACCCUUCGGUUUGCAUGGGAGCUGGGUGAGGCCUGUGACUGCUGGCUUUCCCCCACUUCCCUGACAACCUGCAUGGCUCAGCAGAGGCAGGCAUAAUCUUCCUAGGUACACAACUCCAGUGACCUGGGAAUCUCACUCCUAUCCCCUACAGCAGCCGCAGCAAGACCCACCCAAGGAGAGCCUGAGCUCAGACAUGCCUAGUCCUGCCCCCGCCUGAUGUUCCUUCCCUACCCUCCCUGGUAGCAGAAGACAAAGGGUAUUAAUCUUGGGAGAUCUAGGGCCCCACCCACCACCAGUCCCUCUCUAUACUCCUACAGCUGAUGCUUUCUGGAAAGCGCCACCACCUGACAGUAGGCCAACCAGCACAAAAAUAGAGCAUUAAACCACUAAAGCUAAGAACUCUCAUGGAGUCCAUUGCACCCCCUGCCACCUCCACCAGAACAGGCACUGAGACACACAGCUGAGAGACCCAAGGGCAGUUCACAUCACAGGACUAUGUGCAGACAACCCCCAGUACUAGCCCAGAGCCAGGUAGACUUACUGGGUGGCUAGACCCAGAAGAGGGACAACAAUCACUGCAGUUUGACUCACAGGAAGCCACAUCCACAGGAAAAGGAUGAGAGUACUACAUCAAGGGAACACCCCAUGGGACAAAAGAAUCUGAACAACAGCCUUCAGCCCUAGACCUUCCCUGUGACAGAGCCUACCUAAAUGAGAAGGAACCAGAAAACCAACCCUGGUAAUAUGACAAAAAAAAGCUCUUCAACACCCGUGAAAAAUCACAGUAGUGCACCAGCAAUGGAUCCAAACCAAGAAGAAAUCCUUGAUUUACCUGAAAAAGAAUCCAGGAGGUUAGUUAUUAAGCUAAUCAGGGAAGGACCAGAGAAAGGUGAAGCCCAAUGCAAGGAAAUAAAAAAAAAAAUGAUACCAGAAGUGAAGGGAGAAAUAUUCAAAGAAAUAGAUAGCUUAAGGAAAAAAACAAUCAAAAAUUCAGAAAACUUUGGACACACUUUUAGAAAUGUGAAAUGCUCUAGAAAGUCUCAGCAAUAGAAUUGAACAAGUUGAAUAAAGAAAUUCAGAGCUUGAAGACAAAGCCUUCUAAUUAACCCAAUCCAAUAAAGACAAAGAAAAAAGAAUAAGAAAAUAUGAACAAAGUCUCCAAGAAGUCUGGGAUUACGUUAAAUGACCAAACUUAAGGAUAAUUGGCAUUCCUGUGGAAGAAGAGAAUUCCAAAAGCUUGGAAAACAUAUUUGGGGGAAUAAUUGAGGAAGACUUCUCCAGCCUUGCUAGAGACCUAGACAUCCAAAUACGAAAAGCACAAGGAACACCUGGAAAAUUCAUCACAAAAAGAUCUUUGCAUAGGCACUUUGUCAUCAGAUUAUCCAAAGUUAAGACGAAGGAAAAAAUCUUAACAGCUGUGAGACGAAGCACCAAGCAACCUAUAAAGGAAAACCUAUCAGAUUAACAGCAGAUUUCUCAGCAGAAACCCUCCAAGCUAGAAGGGAUUGGGGCCCUAUCUUCAGCCUCCUCAAACAAAACAAUUAUCAGCCAAGAAUUUUGUAUCCAGCAAAACUAAGCUUCAUAUAUGAAGGAAAGAUACAGUCGUUUUCAGACAAACGAAU
Homo sapiens (human) is the source of this 2553-nucleotide long non-coding RNA. NCBI's taxonomy places the organism in Eukaryota, Metazoa, Chordata, Mammalia, Primates, Hominidae. The record is from Ensembl.